AUCCUUUUUUUGUUCAUGAGCAUGAUGAUUGGGUGUUCACGCCUCUGAGUGACAUAUGCCGCCCUCAAAUCUUGUUACGACGUGGGCACGUUACCCUUCUGACG
Molecule: small nucleolar RNA, 104 nt
Filed under: Castor canadensis (American beaver)
Lineage: Eukaryota; Metazoa; Chordata; Mammalia; Rodentia; Castoridae
Description: Small nucleolar RNA U13 (ENSCCNG00000029911.1)
Rfam family: Small nucleolar RNA U13
Source: Rfam by way of RNAcentral